RNAcentral lists this ribosomal RNA (253 nucleotides) under uncultured bacterium. RNAcentral's name for it is "partial 16S ribosomal RNA". It matches the Rfam family "Bacterial small subunit ribosomal RNA", at positions 524 to 776 of the family's 1533-position model. RNAcentral also lists the same sequence under 1 other name. The record is from RNAcentral.
CACGGGGGGAGCAAGCGUUGUUCGGAAUCACUGGGCGUAAAGGGUGUCUAGGCGGUCAGGUAAGUGAGAUGUGAAAUGCCCCGGCUUACCCGGGGACCUGCAUCUCAUACUGUCUGGCUUGAGUAUGGGAGAGGAUGAGGGAAUUCCUGGUGUAGCGGUGAAAUGCGUAGAUAUCAGGAGGAACACCGGUGGCGAAAGCGCUCAUCUGGCCCAAUACUGACGCUGAAGCACGAAAGCUAGGGGAGCAAACGGG